RNAcentral lists this ribosomal RNA (484 nucleotides) under uncultured bacterium. RNAcentral's name for it is "partial 16S ribosomal RNA". It matches the Rfam family "Bacterial small subunit ribosomal RNA", at positions 30 to 507 of the family's 1533-position model. The record is from RNAcentral.
AUUGAACGCUGGCGGCAGGCCUAACACAUGCAAGUCGAGCGGAUGAAGGGAGCUUGCUCCUGGAUUCAGCGGCGGACGGGUGAGUAAUGCCUAGGAGUCUGCCUGGUAGUGGGGGAUAACGUCCUGAAACGGGCGCUAAUACCGCAUACGUCCUGAGGGAGAAAGUGGGUGAUCUUCUGACCUCACGCUAUCAGAUGAGCCUAGGUCGGAUUAGCUAGUUGGUGGGGUAAAGGCCUACCAAGGCGACGAUCCGUAACUGGUCUGAGAGGAUGAUCAGUCACACUGGAACUGAGAAACGGUCCAGACUCCUACGGGAGGCAGCAGUGGGGAAUAUUGGACAAUGGGCGAAAGCCUGAUCCAGCCAUGCCGCGUGUGUGAAGAAGGUCUUCGGAUUGUAAAGCACUUUAAGUUGGGAGGAAGGGCAGUAAGUUAAUACCUUGCUGUUUUGACGUUACCAACAGAAUAAGCACCGGCUAACUUCGUG